CCUAAAGUCCUUUAGCAC
This 18-nucleotide transfer RNA is filed under the name Hyloxalus idiomelus (Rivero's rocket frog). RNAcentral describes it as "partial tRNA-Phe". The record is from RNAcentral. Lineage: Eukaryota; Metazoa; Chordata; Amphibia; Anura; Dendrobatidae.